UAAAGCCUACUGGGUUCGACACUCUCGAAACAUUUUUGACCCAACACGUUUUGUAAGGGAGUCCGGGCAGCCGGCGGAAUGCAGACCUCCCCUGCGGGGACGCUGGGAGCAUGGAAACCGUCUUAUGGACACCCACCUGUCUCAGAGGCAGGUCAUCAUCGUUUCGACACCGGCC
Molecule: non-coding RNA, 175 nt
Filed under: Eubacteriales bacterium
Lineage: Bacteria; Bacillati; Bacillota; Clostridia; Eubacteriales
Description: partial 6S RNA
Rfam family: 6S / SsrS RNA
About the family: E. coli 6S RNA was the first non coding RNA to be sequenced, but its function was unknown until recently. It consists of 184 nucleotides that fold into an extended hairpin structure with a large single-stranded internal bulge.
Source: RNAcentral